GUGUUUUUAUGGGUGCAAAGGCUCUAAUAGUUGGUGCCUAAAGGAUCUCCUAAAGGGAGUCAAAUAACUAAAAGAAUAAGGAUUCCUAAUGCAAGUAGGACUUGUAUUAAGUGAUUAUUUGAUUUUGAAUAGGAUUCAAAUCUUAUGCCUAUUUAAAGGGGCCUUUUCUAAGGUCUCUAGGUACUUCAACCUGCAGCCCCACACCCC
This 207-nucleotide long non-coding RNA is filed under the name Elaeis guineensis (African oil palm). RNAcentral describes it as "long non-coding RNA (EGUI_LNC061459)". The record is from RNAcentral. Lineage: Eukaryota; Viridiplantae; Streptophyta; Magnoliopsida; Arecales; Arecaceae.